RNAcentral lists this ribosomal RNA (500 nucleotides) under uncultured Glomeromycotina. RNAcentral's name for it is "partial small subunit ribosomal RNA". It matches the Rfam family "Eukaryotic small subunit ribosomal RNA", at positions 591 to 1092 of the family's 1831-position model. Lineage: Eukaryota; Fungi; Glomeromycota. The record is from RNAcentral.
CCAAUAGCGUAUAUUAAAGUUGUUGCAGUUAAAAAGCUCGUAGUUGAAUUUCGGGGUCAGUAGGUUGGUCAUGCCACCGGUAUGUACUGGUCUCACUGAUUCCUCCUUCCUGAUGAACCGUAAUGCCAUUAAUUUGGUGUUGCGGGGAGACUGGACUGUUACUUUGAAAAAAUUAGAGUGUUUAAAGCAAGCUAACGCUUGAAUACAUUAGCAUGGAAUAAUGAAAUAGGACGUUCGAUCCUAUUUUGUUGGUUUCUAGGAUUGACGUAAUGAUUAAUAGGGAUAGUUGGGGGCAUUAGUAUUCAAUUGUCAGAGGUGAAAUUCUUGGAUUUAUUGAAGACUAACUACUGCGAAAGCAUUUGCCAAGGAUGUUUUCAUUAAUCAAGAACGAAAGUUAGGGGAUCGAAGACGAUCAGAUACCGUCGUAGUCUUAACCAUAAACUAUGCCGACUAGGGAUCGGAUGAUGUUAAUUUUAUAAUGACUCAUUCGGCGCCUUACA